GAGUUUGAUCGUGGCUCAGAUUGAACGCUGGCGGCAUGCCUUACACAUGCAAGUCGAACGGCAGCAUGAUCUAGCUUGCUAGAUUGAUGGCGAGUGGCGAACGGGUGAGUAAUACAUCGGAACGUGCCCUGUAGUGGGGAUAACUAGUCGAAAGAUUAGCUAAUACCGCAUACGACCUGAGGGUGAAAGUGGGGGACCGCAAGGCCUCAUGCUAUGGGAGCGGCCGAUGUCUGAUUAGCUAGUUGGUGGGUAAAGGCCCACCAAGGCGACGAUCAGUAGCUGGUCUGAGAGGACGAUCAGCCACACUGGGACUGAGACACGGCCCAGACUCCUACGGGAGGCAGCAGUGGGGAAUUUUGGACAAUGGGCGAAAGCCUGAUCCAGCAAUGCCGCGUGUGUGAAGAAGGCCUCGG
RNAcentral lists this ribosomal RNA (413 nucleotides) under uncultured microorganism. RNAcentral's name for it is "bacterial SSU rRNA". It matches the Rfam family "Bacterial small subunit ribosomal RNA", at positions 9 to 420 of the family's 1533-position model. The record is from RNAcentral.